UCUGAAUCUGCGUACGGCUCCGCAAACCAGUUGUAAACUAUAGCAAGCAAUCCUGUGGUUGGGCUUCGGCUCGGCCAUGGGUAACAUGGAUAACCCUGGUAAUUCUGAGGCUAAUACAAGAACGUACAACCUGGCUAACCGGCAACGGAAGGCUGGGGAACGUGCAACGUAUCGUAAUGGAUACCGGGAAAGGGUGCACGUUUGGACCGCGCUAAAGACAGUCCUUGGUAAGCCCUUGCGGGCAAGCCUUGGCCUGAGCGGCUCUUGCGGUGUGCUUCUGACCUAUCAACUAGACGGCAGCGUAAGGGACAUGCUAUGGU
This 320-nucleotide ribosomal RNA is filed under the name Polyschismium fallax. RNAcentral's name for it is "bacterial SSU rRNA". It matches the Rfam family "Eukaryotic small subunit ribosomal RNA", at positions 80 to 350 of the family's 1831-position model. Lineage: Eukaryota; Evosea; Eumycetozoa; Physariida; Didymiaceae. The record is from RNAcentral.